AGUGAACGCUGGCGGUAGGCCUAACACAUGCAAGUCGAACGGCAGCACAGUAAGAGCUUGCUCUUACGGGUGGCGAGUGGCGGACGGGUGAGGAAUACAUCGGAAUCUACUUUUUCGUGGGGGAUAACGUAGGGAAACUUACGCUAAUACCGCAUACGACCUACGGGUGAAAGCAGGGGAUCUUCGGACCUUGCGCGAUUGAAUGAGCCGAUGUCGGAUUAGCUAGUUGGCGGGGUAAAGGCCCACCAAGGCGACGAUCCGUAGCUGGUCUGAGAGGAUGAUCAGCCACACUGGAACUGAGACACGGCCCAGACUCCUACGGGAGGCAGAAGUGGGAAAUAUUGGACAAUGGGCGAAAGCCUGAUCCAGCCAUACCGCGUGGGUGAAGAAGGCCUUCGGGUUGUAAAGCCCUUUGUUGGGAAAGAAAAGCAGCAGGUUAAUACCCCGCUGUUCUGACGGUACCCAAAGAAUAAGCACCGGCUAACUUCGUG
Molecule: ribosomal RNA, 491 nt
Filed under: uncultured bacterium
Lineage: Bacteria
Description: partial 16S ribosomal RNA
Rfam family: Bacterial small subunit ribosomal RNA
Source: RNAcentral